UACGGGGGGGGCAAACGUUGUUCGGAAUUACUGGGCGUAAAGGGCUCGUAGGCGGCCAACUAAGUCAGACGUGAAAUCCCCAGGCUCAACCUGGGAACUGCGUCUGAUACUGGAUGGCUUGAAUUCGGGAGAGGGAUGCAGAAUUCCAGGUGUAGCGGUGAAAUGCGUAGAUAUCUGGAGGAAUACCGGUGGCGAAGGCGGCAUCCUGGACCGAGAUUGACACUGAUGAGCGAAAGCUAGGGGAGCAAACGGG
This 253-nucleotide ribosomal RNA is filed under the name uncultured bacterium. RNAcentral's name for it is "partial 16S ribosomal RNA". It matches the Rfam family "Bacterial small subunit ribosomal RNA", at positions 524 to 776 of the family's 1533-position model. The record is from RNAcentral.